Molecule: non-coding RNA, 473 nt
Organism: Meleagris gallopavo (turkey)
Lineage: Eukaryota; Metazoa; Chordata; Aves; Galliformes; Phasianidae
Source: RefSeq, a predicted model, not a curated record
UCACCGCUCCUCAGCGCCGCCGCCCCGUUCCCUCCUCACUUCCGCCUCUGCGCACUGACUCCCCGCUCUCCUCCAAUCACAGGAGGCGAGAGGCGGGAUUGCGCUUUUUCUACGCUUCUCAUUGGUUCCUCCGACCGGCCGUCUCCUUUCCGGCGUUCCUAUUGGUGGAAAGAAAGGAGAGCGGGAAGUUCGCGGCGGGUCGUAGCGCUGAGGGAAAGGAAUGGGAACGGAGGGAGCGGAGCGGUUCUGAGGGUCCAAACAGAACCGGAACCGAACCGAACCCAUGGAGCGGCUGUGCGAACUGCGGGCGAUGCUGAAGGGCUGGGAGGCGGUUUUCGAACGGGAAAACGGCCGGAGACCGGGAAAGGCUGACGUGGCAGCAGCUUCAGAGGACACCAAGCGGCUGUACCGGGAGUACCGGGAGCUGAAGCAGCGGACAGACCCCGCAGAGCAGAGCCCAGUGGCAGAGCAGG